AUCCCUCUGGGGGGCUCGUUGAAACGGAGAAAGAAUCCCUGACUCAUGUCGAACCGGGGGCCUGAGCGUGAGCCGUGUGCCGGCCCGACGAUCCUCAUCGGGAAGCCUGACGCUCACGAUACCGGCUCCCACCUGCUCGUAGCAGGGGUUCGACUCCAUUAUCCCAACGGCUUUUUCGGUACGGAU
RNAcentral lists this non-coding RNA (186 nucleotides) under Deltaproteobacteria bacterium. RNAcentral describes it as "6S RNA". It matches the Rfam family "6S / SsrS RNA". From Rfam's summary of the family: E. coli 6S RNA was the first non coding RNA to be sequenced, but its function was unknown until recently. It consists of 184 nucleotides that fold into an extended hairpin structure with a large single-stranded internal bulge. Lineage: Bacteria; Pseudomonadati; Myxococcota; Myxococcia. The record is from RNAcentral. RNAcentral also lists the same sequence under 1 other name.